GGUCAAGUGAAGAAGCGCAUACGGUGGAUGCCUUGGCAGUCAGAGGCGAUGAAAGACGUGGUAGCCUGCGAAAAGCUUCGGGGAGUCGGCAAACAGACUGUGAUCCGGAGAUAUCUGAAUGGGGGAACCCAGCCAUCAUAAGAUGGUUAUCUUGUACUGAAUACAUAGGUGCAAGAGGCGAACCAGGGGAACUGAAACAUCUAAGUACCCUGAGGAAAAGAAAUCAACCGAGAUUCCCUUAGUAGUGGCGAGCGAACGGGGACCAGCCCUUAAGUUGUAUUGAGAUUAGCGGAACGUUCUGGAAAGGACGGCCAUAGUGGGUGAUAGCCCUGUACGCGAAAAUCCCUUUGCAAUGAAAUCGAGUAGGACGGGGCACGAGAAACCUUGUCUGAAUAUGGGGGGACCAUCCUCCAAGGCUAAAUACUACUGACUGACCGAUAGUGAACCAGUACCGUGAGGGAAAGGCGAAAAGAACCGCGGAGAGCGGAGUGAAAUAGAUCCUGAAACCGUAUGCGUACAAGCAGUGGGAGCCCACUUGUUGGGUGACUGCGUACCUUUGUAUAAUGGGUCAGCGACUUAUUUUCAGUGGCGAGCUUAACCGAAUAGGGGAGGCGUAGCGAAAGCGAGUCUUAAUAGGGCGUCUAGUCGCUGGGAAUAGACCCGAAACCGGGCGAUCUAUCCAUGGGCAGGUUGAAGGUUGGGUAACACUAACUGGAGGACCGAACCGACUACCGUUGAAAAGUUAGCGGAUGACCUGUGGAUCGGAGUGAAAGGCUAAUCAAGCUCGGAGAUAGCUGGUUCUCCUCGAAAGCUAUUUAGGUAGCGCCUCAUGUAUCACUGUAGGGGUAGAGCACUGUUUCGGCUAGGGGUCAUCCCGACUUACCAAACCGAUGCAAACUCCGAAUACCUACAAGUGCCGAGCAUGGGAGACACACGGCGGGUGCUAACGUCCGUCGUGAAAGGGAAACAACCCAGACCGUCAGCUAAGGUCCCAAAGUCAUGGUUAAGUGGGAAACGAUGUGGGAAGGCUUAGACAGCUAGGAGGUUGGCUUAGAAGCAGCCACCCUUUAAAGAAAGCGUAAUAGCUCACUAGUCGAGUCGGCCUGCGCGGAAGAUGUAACGGGGCUCAAACCAUGCACCGAAGCUACGGGUAUCAUCUUAGGAUGAUGCGGUAGAGGAGCGUUCUGUAAGCCUGUGAAGGUGAGUUGAGAAGCUUGCUGGAGGUAUCAGAAGUGCGAAUGCUGACAUGAGUAACGACAAUGGGUGUGAAAAACACCCACGCCGAAAGACCAAGGUUUCCUGCGCAACGUUAAUCGACGCAGGGUUAGUCGGUCCCUAAGGCGAGGCUGAAAAGCGUAGUCGAUGGAAAACAGGUUAAUAUUCCUGUACUUCUGGUUAUUGCGAUGGAGGGACGGAGAAGGCUAGGCCAGCCUGGCGUUGGUUGUCCAGGUUUAAGGUGGUAGGCUGAGAUCUUAGGUAAAUCCGGGAUCUUAAGGCCGAGAGCUGAUGACGAGUGUUCUUUUAGAACACGAAGUGGUUGAUGCCAUGCUUCCAAGAAAAGCUUCUAAGCUUCAGGUAACCAGGAACCGUACCCCAAACCGACACAGGUGGUUGGGUAGAGAAUACCAAGGCGCUUGAGAGAACUCGGGUGAAGGAACUAGGCAAAAUGGCACCGUAACUUCGGGAGAAGGUGCGCCGGUGGAGGUGAAGCAUUUACUGCGUAAGCCCCUGCCGGUCGAAGAUACCAGGCCGCUGCGACUGUUUAUUAAAAACACAGCACUCUGCAAACACGAAAGUGGACGUAUAGGGUGUGACGCCUGCCCGGUGCCGGAAGGUUAAUUGAUGGGGUUAGCGCAAGCGAAGCUCUUGAUCGAAGCCCCGGUAAACGGCGGCCGUAACUAUAACGGUCCUAAGGUAGCGAAAUUCCUUGUCGGGUAAGUUCCGACCUGCACGAAUGGCGUAACGAUGGCGGCGCUGUCUCCACCCGAGACUCAGUGAAAUUGAAAUCGCUGUGAAGAUGCAGUGUAUCCGCGGCUAGACGGAAAGACCCCGUGAACCUUUACUAUAGCUUUGCACUGGACUUUGAAUUUGCUUGUGUAGGAUAGGUGGGAGGCUUUGAAGCGUGGACGCCAGUCUGCGUGGAGCCAACCUUGAAAUACCACCCUGGCAACUUUGAGGUUCUAACUCAGGUCCGUUAUCCGGAUCGAGGACAGUGUAUGGUGGGUAGUUUGACUGGGGCGGUCUCCUCCUAAAGAGUAACGGAGGAGUACGAAGGUGCGCUCAGACCGGUCGGAAAUCGGUCGUAGAGUAUAAAGGCAAAAGCGCGCUUGACUGCGAGACAGACACGUCGAGCAGGUACGAAAGUAGGUCUUAGUGAUCCGGUGGUUCUGUAUGGAAGGGCCAUCGCUCAACGGAUAAAAGGUACUCCGGGGAUAACAGGCUGAUACCGCCCAAGAGUUCAUAUCGACGGCGGUGUUUGGCACCUCGAUGUCGGCUCAUCACAUCCUGGGGCUGAAGCCGGUCCCAAGGGUAUGGCUGUUCGCCAUUUAAAGUGGUACGCGAGCUGGGUUUAGAACGUCGUGAGACAGUUCGGUCCCUAUCUGCCGUGGACGUUUGAGAUUUGAGAGGGGCUGCUCCUAGUACGAGAGGACCGGAGUGGACGAACCUCUGGUGUUCCGGUUGUCACGCCAGUGGCAUUGCCGGGUAGCUAUGUUCGGAAAAGAUAACCGCUGAAAGCAUCUAAGCGGGAAACUUGCCUCAAGAUGAGAUCUCACUGGAACCUUGAGUUCCCUAAAGGGCCGUCGAAGACUACGACGUUGAUAGGUUGGGUGUGUAAGCGCUGUGAGGCGUUGAGCUAACCAAUACUAAUUGCCCGUGAGGCUUGACCAU
This 2889-nucleotide ribosomal RNA is filed under the name Pseudomonas syringae. RNAcentral describes it as "23S ribosomal RNA". It matches the Rfam family "Bacterial large subunit ribosomal RNA". Lineage: Bacteria; Pseudomonadati; Pseudomonadota; Gammaproteobacteria; Pseudomonadales; Pseudomonadaceae. The record is from RNAcentral.